UACGUAGGGCGCAAGCGUUGUCCGGAAUUAUUGGGCGUAAAGAGCUCGUAGGCGGCCUGUCGCGUCUGCUGUGAAAUCCCGGGGCUUAACCCCGGGCGUGCAGUGGAUACGGGCUGGCUGGAGGCAGGCAGGGGAGAACGGAAUUCCCGGUGUAGCGGUGAAAUGCGCAGAUAUCGGGAGGAACACCGGUGGCGAAGGCGGUUCUCUGGGCCCGUACUGACGCUGAGGAGCGAAAGCGUGGGGAGCGAACAGG
This 253-nucleotide ribosomal RNA is filed under the name uncultured bacterium. RNAcentral's name for it is "partial 16S ribosomal RNA". It matches the Rfam family "Bacterial small subunit ribosomal RNA", at positions 524 to 776 of the family's 1533-position model. The record is from RNAcentral.